GGGUCCUUAGCUCAGUGGAUAGAGCAACCGCCUUCUAAGCGGUCGGCCACUGGUUCGAAUCCAGUAGGACCCG
This 73-nucleotide transfer RNA is filed under the name Vasconcelosia minhoensis LEGE 07310. Its description in RNAcentral is "Phormidium sp. LEGE 07310 tRNA". It matches the Rfam family "tRNA". From Rfam's summary of the family: Transfer RNA (tRNA) molecules are approximately 80 nucleotides in length. Their secondary structure includes four short double-helical elements and three loops (D, anti-codon, and T loops). The record is from Rfam by way of RNAcentral. Lineage: Bacteria; Bacillati; Cyanobacteriota; Cyanophyceae; Nodosilineales; Cymatolegaceae.